CGGUGAUAUAAUUAAACGGCUGCAGUUCUCUGACUGUGCAAAGGUAGCCUGAUCAGUUGUCUGGUAAUUCCAGUCUGGUAUGAAUGGUUAGACGAUAGGAACGCUGUCUUUUUCUCUUUUGUUGAAAUUGACUACCAGGUGCGGAGGCCUGGAUUGGAGAGUGGUACGAGAAGACCCUAUAUUGCUUUAACUUUAGCUAUAAAAUCAUUGUUAUGGUGUGUGUUUUAGUUGGGGCAACUAUUCUUAUUAUUAAACAUUUCUCGUAAUCUAGUAAAUUUAAUUUGUGUGGACCCUAAAUUUUUGGGUAGUUAGAAAAAGUUACCUUAGGGAUAACAGCGUAAUUUCUCUUGAGAGUUCUUAUUAA
This 364-nucleotide ribosomal RNA is filed under the name Ophiocoma echinata. Its description in RNAcentral is "partial 16S ribosomal RNA". It matches the Rfam family "Bacterial large subunit ribosomal RNA", at positions 1864 to 2508 of the family's 2925-position model. Lineage: Eukaryota; Metazoa; Echinodermata; Ophiuroidea; Amphilepidida; Ophiocomidae. The record is from RNAcentral.